This 350-nucleotide ribosomal RNA is filed under the name uncultured bacterium. Its description in RNAcentral is "bacterial SSU rRNA". It matches the Rfam family "Bacterial small subunit ribosomal RNA", at positions 8 to 353 of the family's 1533-position model. The record is from RNAcentral.
AGAGUUUGAUCCUGGCUCAGGACGAACGCUGGCGGCGCGCCUAACACAUGCAAGUCGAACGAGAGAGAGGGAGCUUGCUUCCUUGAUCGAGUGGCGAACGGGUGAGUAACGCGUGAGGAACCUGCCUCAAAGAGGGGGACAACAGUUGGAAACGACUGCUAAUACCGCAUAAGCCCACGGCUCGGCAUCGAGCAGAGGGAAAAGGAGCAAUCCGCUUUGAGAUGGCCUCGCGUCCGAUUAGCUAGUUGGUGAGGUAACGGCUCACCAAGUCGACGAUCAGUAGCCGGACUGAGAGGUUGAACGGCCACAUUGGGACUGAGAUACGGCCCAGACUCCUACGGGAGGCAGCA